This 466-nucleotide ribosomal RNA is filed under the name uncultured bacterium. RNAcentral describes it as "partial 16S ribosomal RNA". It matches the Rfam family "Bacterial small subunit ribosomal RNA", at positions 28 to 507 of the family's 1533-position model. The record is from RNAcentral.
GACGAACGCUGGCGGCGUGCUUAACACAUGCAAGUCGAACGGAAAGGCCCUGCUUGCCGGGUACUCGAGUGGCGAACGGGUGAGUAACACGUGGGUGAUCUGCCCUGCGCUUCGGGAUAAGCCUGGGAAACUGGGUCUAAUACCGGAUAGGAGCCAUUUUUAGUGUGAUGGUUGGAAAGUUUUUUUCGGUGUAGGAUGAGCUCGCGGCCUAUCAGCUUGUUGGUGGGGUAAUGGCCUACCAAGGCGGCGACGGGUAGCCGGCCUGAGAGGGUGGACGGCCACAUUGGGACUGAGAUACGGCCCAGACUCCUACGGGAGGCAGCAGUGGGGAAUAUUGCACAAUGGGCGCAAGCCUGAUGCAGCGACGCCGCGGGGGGGAUGACGGCCUUCGGGUUGUAAACUCCUUUCGCUAGGGACGAAGCUUUUUGUGACGGUACCUAGAUAAGAAGCACCGGCUAACUACGUG